UGGUGUAAUAUUGUGGAUCUGACUUCAUGUGUCACUAAGAACAGGAGAUCCAAGACUGCUCUUCUGGGGAUGAGACUUGGAAGAAACCUCCAUCCUCAGGGAUUUGAAGAAGGUUAUACUGGAACCUGUGUGAAGGCUGAGACAACCGUCCCUUUUGUGGUGGCCUGAGGGGAUUUUCUUAAUCCCAAUGUUGCCCUGAAAUUUAUGUCCAGGAUUCAAAAAGUUUAGGACUGCUAAG
This 238-nucleotide non-coding RNA is filed under the name Homo sapiens (human). Lineage: Eukaryota; Metazoa; Chordata; Mammalia; Primates; Hominidae. The record is from RNAcentral.